RNAcentral lists this ribosomal RNA (253 nucleotides) under uncultured bacterium. Its description in RNAcentral is "partial 16S ribosomal RNA". It matches the Rfam family "Bacterial small subunit ribosomal RNA", at positions 524 to 776 of the family's 1533-position model. The record is from RNAcentral.
UACGUAGGGUCCGAGCGUUGUCCGGAAUUACUGGGCGUAAAGAGCUCGUAGGUGGUUUGUCGCGUUGUUCGUGAAAACUCACAGCUCAACUGUGGGCGUGCGGGCGAUACGGGCAGACUAGAGUACUGCAGGGGAGACUGUAAUUCCUGGUGUAGCGGUGGAAUGCGCAGAUAUCAGGAGGAACACCGGUGGCGAAGGCGGGUCUCUGGGCAGUAACCGACGCUGAGGAGCGAAAGCGUGGGGAGCGAACAGG